Molecule: long non-coding RNA, 143 nt
Organism: Eurytemora carolleeae
Lineage: Eukaryota; Metazoa; Arthropoda; Copepoda; Calanoida; Temoridae
Exons: 3
Source: RefSeq, a predicted model, not a curated record
UACAUGUACUGUACUGCAGGUGGAACUAGAAGACGAGGAUGGACGCAAUCAGGAAAAAGAUGCAGUCUCUCAAGGGAGAAACUGAUUCCCUCUACGCUACCAUUGGACGGUUUGAGGAUGCCACCAAAGCCUCAAAUGCACAA